AUUGAACGCUGGCGGCAGGCCUAACACAUGCAAGUCGAACGGUAACAGGAAGCAGCUUGCUGCUUCGCUGGCGAGUGGCGGACGGGUGAGUAAUGUCUGGGAAACUGCCUGAUGGAGGGGGAUAACUACUGAAAACGGUAGCUACUACCGCAUAACGUCGCAUGACUAAAGGGGGGGGCCUUAUGGCCUCGUGUCAUGGGAUGUGCCCAGAUGGGAUUAGCUAGUAGGUGGGGUUACGUCUCCCCUAGGCGACGAUCCCUAGCUGGUCUGAGAGGAUGACCGGCCACCCUGGAACUGGACCACGCUCCAGGCGCCUACGGGAGGCAGCAGUGGGCAAUAUUGCACAGUGGGGGCAAGCAUGAUGCAACCAUGCGGCGUCUAUGAAGAAGGCCUUCAGGUUGUAAAGUACUUUCAGCGGGGGGAAAGGGAGUAAAGUUGAUACCUUUGCUCAUUGACGUUACCCGCAGAAGAAGCACCGGCUAACUCCGUG
Molecule: ribosomal RNA, 490 nt
Filed under: uncultured bacterium
Lineage: Bacteria
Description: partial 16S ribosomal RNA
Rfam family: Bacterial small subunit ribosomal RNA
Source: RNAcentral